Molecule: transfer RNA, 88 nt
Filed under: Gammaproteobacteria bacterium
Lineage: Bacteria; Pseudomonadati; Pseudomonadota; Gammaproteobacteria
Description: tRNA-Leu
Rfam family: tRNA
About the family: Transfer RNA (tRNA) molecules are approximately 80 nucleotides in length. Their secondary structure includes four short double-helical elements and three loops (D, anti-codon, and T loops). Further hydrogen bonds mediate the characteristic L-shaped molecular structure. tRNAs have two regions of fundamental functional importance: the anti-codon, which is responsible for specific mRNA codon recognition, and the 3' end, to which the tRNAs corresponding amino acid is attached (by aminoacyl-tRNA synthetases). tRNAs cope with the degeneracy of the genetic code in two manners: having more than one tRNA (with a specific anti-codon) for a particular amino acid; and 'wobble' base-pairing, i.e. permitting non-standard base-pairing at the 3rd anti-codon position.
Source: RNAcentral
GCCCGGGUGGCGGAACUGGUAGACGCGCGGGACUCAAAAUCCCGUAUCCCUUAAAGAUGUGUGGGUUCGACUCCCUCUCCGGGCACCA